AAAGGGGAGCUCGGAUGGACCGGGCUGAGAGGAGACCUAACGGUCUCGACCCUUCGAACCUGAUCCGGGUAAUGCUGGCGUAGGGACGAGG
RNAcentral lists this non-coding RNA (91 nucleotides) under marine sediment metagenome. RNAcentral's name for it is "TPP riboswitch aptamer (THI element)". It matches the Rfam family "TPP riboswitch aptamer (THI element)", at positions 11 to 88 of the family's 105-position model. From Rfam's summary of the family: Vitamin B(1) in its active form thiamin pyrophosphate (TPP) is an essential coenzyme that is synthesised by coupling of pyrimidine and thiazole moieties in bacteria. The previously detected thiamin-regulatory element, thi box was extended, resulting in a new, highly conserved RNA secondary structure, the THI element, which is widely distributed in eubacteria and also occurs in some archaea. Analysis of operon structures identified a large number of new candidate thiamin-regulated genes, mostly transporters, in various prokaryotic organisms. RNAcentral also lists the same sequence under 1 other name. The record is from RNAcentral.